RNAcentral lists this transfer RNA (84 nucleotides) under Planctomycetota bacterium. Its description in RNAcentral is "tRNA-Leu". It matches the Rfam family "tRNA". Rfam says of the family: Transfer RNA (tRNA) molecules are approximately 80 nucleotides in length. Their secondary structure includes four short double-helical elements and three loops (D, anti-codon, and T loops). The record is from RNAcentral. RNAcentral also lists the same sequence under 1 other name. Lineage: Bacteria; Pseudomonadati; Planctomycetota.
GCCGAGGUGGCGGAACUGGCAGACGCGUCAGACUAAGGAUCUGAUGAGCUUAGGCUCAUGGGGGUUCGAGUCCCCCCCUCGGCA